RNAcentral lists this ribosomal RNA (250 nucleotides) under uncultured bacterium. RNAcentral describes it as "partial 16S ribosomal RNA". It matches the Rfam family "Bacterial small subunit ribosomal RNA", at positions 524 to 773 of the family's 1533-position model. RNAcentral also lists the same sequence under 1 other name. The record is from RNAcentral.
UACGUAGGGUGCGAGCGUUGUCCGGAAUUAUUGGGCGUAAAGGGCUCGUAGGCGGUUUGUCGCGUCGGGAGUGAAAACUCAGGGCUUAACCCUGAGCCUGCUUCCGAUACGGGCAGACUAGAGGUAUGCAGGGGAGAACGGAAUUCCUGGUGUAGCGGUGAAAUGCGCAGAUAUCAGGAGGAACACCGGUGGCGAAGGCGGUUCUCUGGGCAUUACCUGACGCUGAGGAGCGAAAGUGUGGGGAGCGAAC